Daucus carota subsp. sativus is the source of this 2965-nucleotide RNA transcript. RefSeq lists it as uncharacterized. Lineage: Eukaryota; Viridiplantae; Streptophyta; Magnoliopsida; Apiales; Apiaceae. The record is from RefSeq and is a predicted model, not a curated record. The transcript has 6 exons.
AAAGUCUCCUAUUAAAAUUCUAUCUCUACAGGUGUUAGUUUUACAAACAAAAACAAGCAUUCGCCUUCGCCCUGUGUGCUGUGGCGGUCAAGCAGCGCGGCACCAAAGCUAAACGCGGUGUUUUGCAAUUUGAACCAAACCCAGUCGGUGAGUGUGAGAGUAUAGUUCAGCAAGUUCUUGAUAGGAGGCAUCACAUUGCUAGGUUCACAAGACAUUCUUUGAGUCUUGAUGACUUUCAUCAUUUUCUGUUUUCAACCGAUCUUAAUCCACCCAUGUAGUAUAAGGUCAAUCACGACAUGACUGCACCACUGUCACAUUAUUUCAUAUACACCGGACAUAAUUCGUACUUGACCGGGAAUCAGCUCAAUAGUGAUUGUAGUAAUGUUCCAAUCAUAGAAGCACUUAAAAGAGGCUUGCGAGUUAUAGAACUUGCUUUAUGGCCAGACUCAAACUCACGCAAGGGUGCUAUACAUGUUAAACAUGGAGGGCAUGCUUAGAAGUGGAUAUAGUUGCAUACGGAGGUUCAGACCCUCACUCGGCUGUAUUAGAGCACCAAUAUAUCCAUAUUCAUAAAAUGGUACUGCUUUUUGUUAAUAACUAUACCAAGUUAACUUGAAACUCGUGUAUUCAUUAAAGGAUUGUUACGUCCUUCACUAAAUAUGAGUUUUCUGGUUCUGCAGAAACCCUGGCCAGCAAUCCCUCAUAUGCCAAAGAUACUUCAGCCUUUAAUGCUUUUAUUUAAGCCUGUGUUUCAAUUUUUAGUGCUGCUUUGGUUUCUUUGUGUUAAAAUACCCGUUCCGGAUGUUUUCAUUGUACAAAUACAACUUCUAUCCAGUCUCGACCUCAAGAAAACUCCUCAGCUAUUGGAACUGGUGGAAGGAUGUCGAGGAGCUCAUGAGUUUAGCUCCAGAAAAGGUUGUCCUAAAAUGGAUGAACUUUCAUUUGAAGAAAGCCGGAUAUGAAAAGGAGGUUACCAAUUUUUCUUCGGAUUUAAAGGUGAGGGAUAAAUUUGUCAAAAUCCAGUCACAGUGGAAGUGUGGAACUUAUUCAUAUCUUCAGUAGUAAAGAUAUAACAUUUUUUAUCUAUCUGACGAGAUGAAUUUCUUAAAGUAAACUUUGUUAUUGCUAGAUUCAUCAACGAUUGUAUUCUAUAUAGUGAUUUGGGCUGAAUGAGUGCGAUUUUGACAAGGUUUGAUGAUAGGCAAAAAAACAGUGACGUGGGUUGUGGGGACAGUUAAAUAUAUGCUUUUACUGCAAGAUGUAACCGCUGUUUUCUCAUAUUCCUGUGUAAUAUUAUUUCAAGGGUGAUAAGUGUUUGAUAACAUUCUAUGCAUUUCUGGAAAUUUCGCAGGGAAAAGGUAACAAUCCCGGCAUCGAAGCCGUAUAUCUCCUUGAUUGGAAAUCAGAAUGUAGCAAGACAAACAGUGAUAGCUUAGGGUGACAAAGCUUCUGAUAUAUCCAAGGAUGGCAUUGUUCUUGGCACCUACAGAUCAGCUUCCAUCACUGUCCUAUUCGAUUACUUCUGAGCGGCUGGGAUCACUUUCGAGGUACUUAUCAGGCCUUUUCUUAGUAACUGAAUUAUUCACAUUUGGUUAGUAUGUGAUGUUAUGACGAGGUUUAGCUCAUUGAUAAAAUCUGGUGAAUGUUUGCAACUGCUCACAAGAUAAAAAAUUGUUUAUACUUUAUAUCGUGCAGGAGAGACGACGGUAGUCCAUUAUCACUACUCACAAACUUUUUAAAGAUGAAUUGGGUCAAAAUUCUCUAAGAAUAAAAGAAAAUACGAUCAUCUAUUUAACAGUCCUAGAGGCUUCACCCUCUCAAGGUUUAAGUCUUUAUGUUUUGUAAAUUUAUUUUUACGGAAGAUAAUUAUGCGCAGACUUGGUGUGUCUGGAGGUUCUGUCCAAUCACUUUUUUUCAAAAACUUAAAUUAUUAGUCACCCACAUCGUUGCAUGUGUAACAGAAAUAAGAUCCAUUCAGUUUUAAUUUAGGGAAGUUGAUUCCAUGCUGCCUAUUUUUUCUUAAUGUGGGUGUACCACUCUCCCCUGAAAAGAUGUAGAAAGGGAGUUAUCAAGUCAGGUCUUGGUCUCCAUUAAGAGAUUAAGACUGAGAAGAGAAAGAAUAGCAUUUAUAAAUUUGUUUUGUACAUUGUCUGAUUCGUAAGUGUGUUGUGGAUCAUCGGCAAUUUAAUACAAGGGGAACAAAAUUAUGGAAGAGAAAUGUCACCUUGAGCUUGGUGAGGUGAUUUAAUUUUUCAUUUAUAUGUGUUGUCAUAGAUAGUUUCAGUUUUAGAUUAUAUCUAGAAUAUGAAUGUCGAUAUAGAAAUGUCCUUUAUUUUUUCAGUUUAAAUCUAUAUAUUGCAAUUUGGCCUGGCUAUGCAAUAAAACUUCACCUAAUCGAAAACGAAAUUGAAAGACAGUUGUUUGUACCUUGAGAAUAUUUUUGAUAGAACUUUUACAUAUCUAUCUAUAUGUUUAUUGUUAAGUAUCUCAUGUUAAGGUUAGUUGCGCUGAAACUUUUUGGAUUAAAGCAUCCUCCUAUUUGGUUUUCUAUUCGAUAUGUUAUACUGACUUUCAGAGUUUUAUUUAGUCACUGCCAAUGUUGUAAUUGUUUUGUAAGUGUUGAAUUCCUAAAUAUGUUUUAGAGUAAGCAUAAAAAACUAUACUAUAUACUUUUUCAUAGGCAUCUGUGGCUGUGUAUCUCUUUCAUCAAAUGAAUGGUUUCCGGUUUACAAGCUGUGUUGCUAUACAUGCCUGUAGAGAAAUAACAUACUGUUGUUUGACAUUUUAUGUCACAAAUAGUUGAGAUAUUAAGAUUAAAUUGUAUAUCUCAACAAAGAUUUAAUAAAAUAAUUUUAUUUUAUCUCAACAAAUGUGUUAGUUCACCAGCUCUACACAUUAGACAAACAAGAAUACAGAUAAAGAGUUAGCUCUUGCUCUUUAGGCAUCACCCUUAUUGUCGUAACAU